Molecule: ribosomal RNA, 419 nt
Filed under: bacterium
Lineage: Bacteria
Description: partial 16S ribosomal RNA
Rfam family: Bacterial small subunit ribosomal RNA
Source: RNAcentral
UGGGGGAUAUUGCACAAUGGGCGAAAGCCUGAUGCAGCGACGCCGCGUGGGGGAUGAAGGCCUUCGGGUUGUAAACUUCUUUUGCUCUGAACAAGGCGCACCAUGGGGUGUGUUGAGUGUAGGGGUUGAUUAGCGCCGGCUAACUACGUGCCAGCAGCCGCGGUAAUACGUAGGGCGCGAGUGUUGUCCGGAAUUAUUGGGCGUAAAGGGCUUGUAGGUGGCUGGUUGCGUCUGUCGUGAAAGCUCAUGGCUUAACUGUGGGUUUGCGGUGGGUACGGGCUGGCUUGAGUGCAGUAGGGGAGGCUGGAAUUCCUGGUGUAGCGGUGGAAUGCGCAGAUAUCAGGAGGAAUACCGGUGGCGAAGGCGGGUCUCUGGGCUGUUACUGACACUGAGGAGCGAAAGCAUGGGGAGCGAACAGG